UCAUAGAUAAUGUUACUCAAACUGUUUCUAUCGUUUGAUUAAAUAAUCCUUAUUUUUUGCGUUUGAUUAUUUUCUGUUUACGUUUAAUUUUACCUUUUAUUUUGUUUUCGUGUUCAGUUUAUUCUAUUGAAAUGGUUAAUGACAUAGUGAUUACAUAAAAGACUUGCCAGUUAUCAUCAACUAGGUGACAUAUUAUGGGGGAGAUAACACUUAAUAUAUGGUUGGAAAACUCAUCUCACUGUAAAUAAAUAAAGAUCCUGAAGUGUUAAUAUUGACAAACCUGACAAAAGCUGUCUCUCGGUCAGGCUAUGGCAACAACUUUACAAACUGCUCUAUUUGCCUUUUUAAAUUAUUGGGAAGCGAAAAUUUCAUGCUACAGAUUGGAUUUUUAUUGAUUGAAGAGAUUGACUAUAAAUGAAUCAAUAAGAUGUUGGUGCAUCGGAAAGCUGUUUCAAAGGUUUCCAUCAAUAUGGGCUCGUCUUUAUUAUUAUUUGUUGCCAUUAAUUGAGCAACAUCUUCUAAUAAUGCCAAAAGUGGCCUUGAUUCAGCUAAGUCAUCAACCGUUUCCAGAGGUUCACUUGGUUCUUCAUCUGGUGUGAAUUUUGCUGUUAAUCUUUCUGGUUCAAUUUCAUCUUCUCUAACCAUGGUUUCAUCUGGAUUAUUAUUUUCAUUAUUAUCACCUUUCACCGAUCCAUCGAAUGGCAACCACUGGACGAUACCUUCAGUAAAACCAGGCUUAAUUGGGUUGAAAUAAUUACUUGAUUGAACAUCUUUUAACUGUAAAAUCAAGCCAAAGAUAAAAAAUGAAACAUGAAUAACAGGUUGAUUGAAAUGUCAAUGGUGUUGAUCAAAGUUGCAAGGAUUGUUAAUUGAACUUGCUGCCAACCUCUUUGGAAUCAGGUUCAUGAAAAAAAUAUGUUGGUCCUGGUUUCUUAAUAUCGUAACGGUGUUGCCGAUAAAAGCUCCAACGUCUACCGGGAAAUGAAUUGUCAUCUGAAUCAUCGAAAUCUUGAUUACCUGAUGGUGAAAGGAAAAACAAAAUUAUUAAAUAUUGUUUCAGGCGAGAUGGUGAAGUCUUUGAAAUCUUAUUCAAUCCUGGUUAACCAUACAAGGUUGAAAUGGAAACCCACAAAAAAAUGAUUCAACCUUUCAGAUAAUUUGUCUUGUCAACUUGUCUUACCUAAAAGGUGAUCUGCAUAGCUAAGAGUAGCUAACAGAUAAGUAUAAAGUAAAGGUAACCACAUAAGCCGGAAAUGGAAACAAACAUGUCGAUGGGAUUUCAUGAUGGUCAUUUGAAGUCAAAUGAGGACGAUGGUUAAGAUUAUAUGAAAUGGAUUCAAUGAAAGAUACGAUGAAAGUGUUGAGGAUUAGACUCUGUCUUGGUUGAACCUAGUAACCUUUUUACCAUGAAUACGUCUCACAAUGUCAACAAUCAAACCAGUUGUUGACCAUAAAACUGUUAUCAAUAAUGAUGAUGAUAAUGAUGAAUCAACAUUUAAUAUUGGUGAAAAGCCAAGAAAAGAUGGAUGACUGUGAAGGAAACAAAUGGACUUAUGUUGAUGAAUUGUGACGAUGAAAAGCAACAAUCGGUUAAAUUUUUUUUAACAAACAAUUUUUUAAACAUGAAAAGACAUGAAAACGAGUUGAUUGAUCGACAUUCAGCAUUCAACAAUGAAAUAAUCCAAGAUAUGAAGUAAAUUGAACUGGACCAAAAUUAAUCCAUAAAACAGGGUUUAACUCUUGUAAAAUGAAAAAUAAAAGAAACCAGAAAAAAUGGUUUCCAAAUUGA
Tetranychus urticae (two-spotted spider mite) is the source of this 1789-nucleotide long non-coding RNA. RefSeq lists it as uncharacterized. The record is from RefSeq and is a predicted model, not a curated record. NCBI's taxonomy places the organism in Eukaryota, Metazoa, Arthropoda, Arachnida, Trombidiformes, Tetranychidae.